RNAcentral lists this ribosomal RNA (204 nucleotides) under Triticum aestivum (bread wheat). Its description in RNAcentral is "partial small subunit ribosomal RNA". The record is from RNAcentral. Lineage: Eukaryota; Viridiplantae; Streptophyta; Magnoliopsida; Poales; Poaceae.
AUGAAGGUCAUCCAUGUCACGCGGCCCGAUCGGGAAGCUCCGAUUCGUCUGCCCACCAGUCAGGUACGCCCUCUCCACUCCGCCCCGAUUCACCCCUUGCAUCAGUAUGACGAUGCCCUAGGAGCAAGGGAGAUCAAGGCAGAACCAGGGCUCUUGCCCGUGGAUCCUUCCGCACCCCCAGUCCCGAUCCCGUGUAUGGAGUAG